RNAcentral lists this ribosomal RNA (199 nucleotides) under uncultured bacterium. Its description in RNAcentral is "partial 16S ribosomal RNA". It matches the Rfam family "Bacterial small subunit ribosomal RNA", at positions 328 to 539 of the family's 1533-position model. The record is from RNAcentral.
ACGCUCGACACCUACGGGAGGCAGCAGUGGGGAAUAUUGCACAAUGGGGGAAACCCGUGAUGCAGCGACGCCGCGUGAGCGAAGAAGUAUUUCGGUAUGUAAAGCUCUAUCAGCAGGGAAGAAACUGACGGUACCUGACUAAGAAGCACCGGCUAAAUACGUGCCUGCAGCCGCGGUAAUCUGAGCGGGCUGGCAAGGC